This 506-nucleotide ribosomal RNA is filed under the name uncultured bacterium. RNAcentral's name for it is "partial 16S ribosomal RNA". It matches the Rfam family "Bacterial small subunit ribosomal RNA", at positions 30 to 523 of the family's 1533-position model. The record is from RNAcentral.
AUUGAACGCUGGCGGCAGGCCUAACACAUGCAAGUCGAACGGUAACAGGAAACAGCUUGCUGUUUCGCUGACGAGUGGCGGACGGGUGCGUAAUGUCUGGGAAACUGCCUGAUGGAGGGGGAUAACUACUGGAAACGGUAGCUAAUACCGCAUAACGUCGCAAGACCAAAGAGGGGGACCUUCGGGCCUCUUGCCAUCGGAUGUGCCCAGAUGGGAUUAGCUAGUAGGUGGGGUAACGGCUCACCUAGGCGACGAUCCCUAGCUGGUCUGAGAGGAUGACCAGCCACAAUGGAACUGAGACACGGUCCAGACUCCUACGGGAGGCAGCAGUGGGGAAUAUUGCACAAUGGGCGCAAGCCUGAUGCAGCCAUGCCGCGUGUAUGAAGAAGGCCUUCGGGUUGUAAAGUACUUUCAGCGGGGAGGAAGGGAGUAAAGUCAAUACCUUUGCUCAUUGACGUUACCCGCAGAAGAAGCACCGGCUAACUCCGUGCCAGCCGCCGCAGUAA